GGGGAAUUUUUUGUUUGCUUUUUUCAUUUUACUGCUCUUAUUCUUCUACAUCAUACAAGACUAAAACCUUGCUAUGAGUGAAAAUAUGGAGCUGAAAGCCUUUUUUUCGUAUGCACAGAGUGAGAGUUCCACUGUGCAGACUCGCAUCUCUCUUCGCCUGUAUGAAGAUGCAGCAGGGCCAAAGCACAACUGUCACCCCUUGAACUCUCAAGCUGGCAGUACAAAAUAGGUUUUCUUCUACACUCAGUGAAUUUGGGGUUUCUAUGUAUAUAUUUCUAUCUUUUUACUUCUCAGUAAAUAUGGAUGGUCUCAGACGAAUAGAGAAAUAAGGCAAUAAAAUAUCUGGUUUGCUGUCCUAAAUUUCAUCUAUGUAUAAUUUUAAGGCCUUUGCUACAUUUCUUACUCCCAUUUAUUCCCCUCACUCUCAUCAGUAGGUGUGGAUAGCAGGUUUACCUACUGACUUGCCAUUGUAUUUGUUCAACAGCUCUAACUCAAUGACAUCAUUUAUUAGAAAGAUAAAUGAGAGCAAUUAAGCAUCAUGGCCAUAACUGGUGAAACUUUCUGCAAAGAGAGCAUUAUUAAAAUGACAGAGUGCUUGUCUGUGCCUGCCCAAGGUGUAUGAUUCAGCCUUUCUCCUUUGCCUGGUGGAGUGACCCCCAGCAGCACACCUCAUGUGCAUUGUUUCUAUAGGGCUAUAUAUAACCUCUCCUGUAAAAUAGCAAUGUCUAUUGAUUGAUGUCCGUUUAAUUUUUAAGAGCCAUCUUCCGCUAUAUUAUUUAGAGUUAAACAGGACAGCUAUUAAACAUUACACUUUAGUUCAUGUUUGUUAAACUACUCACUUGAAUAACCUCCUCAGAUGCUGAUAAAUGGCACCUUCACAAAGAAGAGCUGUUACUUUUUCACAUAAUAUACUGGUGUUUAAGGCUUCUUAUAGUACAUCACAUGCACAGCCUCACUCUGUCAUUCAAAACCCGAAUGACAUUUUAUUAAAACUGUGUUUCUUUUUAAUCCUAUCUGGCUAAUGUUUCCAAUAAUUUUUAAUACUGGGUUUGGAGGAAGGAGGAAAAUUGCCCUGAGGAGAGGAAACUCCAUUCUGCCAAACCAAACAACUAGGUUUCAAAAUAGGGCUUGUUUCCCUUAAAAAAUUCAGUUCUCUGAUUUGGGCAGAAAAGUGGCUGUAAAAGUGUAGAAAGAAACAAACAGCAGGAAAAAUAAGACCAUCAAAGGAAAAAAAGUAGGAGUAAUACAUGGAAAGAGAGGUAAAGAUGGUCAAAUACAGUCUGAAGAAGGAAAAAAAAAGCAAGAGAGAGAGAGGAACUAGAGAAGGUGCUCCAGACUUCCUCCAGUAUCACCAGGUUAUAGGGCUGAGCUGUAGGACAGCAGCCUUACCAGUUUGAGGCAUCCCUGCCUGCUCCUGCCUUCCUGCAGUAGGGAUGUGAUCUGCAACCCAGUGUCAGGAAACCCUAUCAUCUCUCAUGGGACAUGAUCCCGGCAUGGGAGCCCUGUAAGGCUUCUUGGGAGUCCUGGUCUGGCUGCAGACAUGCUAUAUAUGUACUGAGCAUAUAUAUGCAUUGAAAUGCAUACAGAUGAAGCAGCUGUGAUGGCAGAUCCUUGCCCUUUUUAGAUGUCAUAAAGUAAAUGUAUUGCACAGGCUGUGGUGUGGCUGGCAAGAAAAUGGAGACAAUAUCCCUCUACUCUUGGAUCCAAACACUUCAUUUUAUAGAGCAUAUGAUUUACCUGUGGUUUGUAUCCUUGUAGGCACUGCCCAGAGCACGGUGCCCAGAAGCCUGUUUCCAACAUGGUUCCAUUGCCAGGAAUGUCAGGAAGGUUGAAAUGGGAGCCAGGACCAGUGGGGUAGUGCAAGCUGAGGCCAGCUGCACCCUGGCCCCCAAGGGCUGUCUGGGAGAGGAAACCUGAAGCAAAGCAUCACUUAGAGGAAUCUCUUCCAGGUUAUCAUCAAAAACCAGUAUUAUGUGAAACAAGAGUCCUCAGUACAAGUUUGGAGUUUCCUGUUCAUCUUUUUCUUGAGGUCAAUAUCUGUGAAAAAUGUCAGAAACACAAACUUGGAUCUACAGUCUUUUUUAAGAGGUCUUUUUUUUUUUUGGCCUAGUGUAUUUACUCAAUGGACCCUUGUUACUGCAAUAAAAAUAAUAAAGAAGCUGAGGAACAGAA
Long non-coding RNA from Pseudopipra pipra, 2172 nucleotides. RefSeq lists it as uncharacterized. Lineage: Eukaryota; Metazoa; Chordata; Aves; Passeriformes; Pipridae. The transcript has 2 exons. The record is from RefSeq and is a predicted model, not a curated record.